Molecule: long non-coding RNA, 361 nt
Organism: Lynx canadensis (Canada lynx)
Lineage: Eukaryota; Metazoa; Chordata; Mammalia; Carnivora; Felidae
Exons: 3
Source: RefSeq, a predicted model, not a curated record
CCUGAGCUGAAUUCGGAUGCUUAACUGACUGAGCCACCCAGGCACCCCUCUAUUGGUAUAAUUUAUCGCCACACUAGUUUAAAGGAAUUCUGUGUAGCUGUUCAAAUGUAAGAUAUAUUUACAUGUGUGGGUAUAGAAACAAAUCACCCAUUUGUAUUAUUAAUUUAAGAAUGUAAGGUUUAGAACUAGAUACAGUAUGUUCCUGUUUGUGUAAGAAAAUGUUUUCUCUUAUGUGUAGAAACAUAGGUGUUUGUGUCUGAGCAUACACAUAGUUAAGCUGCUUGUGUAAAGAACAUUUCUGUAAGGAUAAAAGCAACUUUUACAGUGGUUGGCUCUAGAAAAGGAAAGAAAGGACUAAGGU